GCGUAAUUGGUUUAGUGGUAAAAUUCUCCGUUGCCAUUCGAGCAGCGUCGAGGGUUCGAUUCCCUGAUUACGCA
RNAcentral lists this transfer RNA (74 nucleotides) under Fusarium proliferatum. It matches the Rfam family "tRNA". From Rfam's summary of the family: Transfer RNA (tRNA) molecules are approximately 80 nucleotides in length. The record is from RNAcentral. Lineage: Eukaryota; Fungi; Ascomycota; Sordariomycetes; Hypocreales; Nectriaceae.